This 240-nucleotide ribosomal RNA is filed under the name uncultured bacterium. RNAcentral describes it as "partial 16S ribosomal RNA". It matches the Rfam family "Bacterial small subunit ribosomal RNA", at positions 15 to 245 of the family's 1533-position model. The record is from RNAcentral.
GAUCAUGGCUCAGGAUGAACGCUAGCUACAGGCUUAACACAUGCAAGUCGAGGGGCAGCAUUUUAGUUUGCUUGCAAACUAAAGAUGGCGACCGGCGCACGGGUGAGUAACACGUAUCCAACCUGCCGAUAACUCUGGGGUAGCCUUUCGAAAGAAAGAUUAAUACCGGAUGGCAUAGGAUUACCGCAUGAUAAUCCUAUUAAAGAAUUUCGGUUAUCGAUGGGGAUGCGUUCCAUUAGG